AACCCCGAGCAACAUAAGACUGCAAAUCUUUUUAUGCGGAGAGAUUUCCGCCGGGGUUU
RNAcentral lists this transfer RNA (59 nucleotides) under Uraeotyphlus cf. oxyurus MW-212. Its description in RNAcentral is "tRNA-Cys". The record is from RNAcentral. Lineage: Eukaryota; Metazoa; Chordata; Amphibia; Gymnophiona; Ichthyophiidae.